UAGUCAUAUGCUUGUCUCAAAGAUUAAGCCAUGCAUGUCUAAGUAUAAAUCUUUAUACGGUGAAACUGCGAAUGGCUCAUUAAAUCAGUUAUAAUUUAUUUGAUAGUACCUUACUACUUGGAUAACCGUGGUAAUUCUAGAGCUAAUACAUGCAUCAAGGCCCGACUUUUUGAAGGGCUGUAUUUAUUAGGUAAAAACCAAUGCUCUUCGGAGCUUUCUGGUGAUUCAUAAUAACUUCUCGGAUCGUAUGACUUUGUGUCGACGACGUAUCAUUCAAAUUUCUGCCCUAUCAACUUUUGAUGGUAGGAUAGGGGCCUACCAUGGUGAUAACGGGUAACGGAGAAUUAGGGUUCGAUUCCGGAGAGGGAGCCUGAGAAAUGGCUACCACAUCCAAGAAAGGCAGCAGGCGCGCAAAUUACCCAAUCCUGACACAGGGAGGUAGUGACAAAAAAUAACAAUGCAGGGCCUUUUGGUCGCUGCAAUUGGAAUGAGUACAAUUUAAACCACUUAACGAGUAUCCAUU
This 523-nucleotide ribosomal RNA is filed under the name uncultured eukaryote. RNAcentral's name for it is "SSU rRNA". It matches the Rfam family "Eukaryotic small subunit ribosomal RNA", at positions 21 to 549 of the family's 1831-position model. The record is from RNAcentral.